Vidua macroura (Pin-tailed whydah) is the source of this 206-nucleotide long non-coding RNA. RefSeq lists it as uncharacterized. The record is from RefSeq and is a predicted model, not a curated record. Lineage: Eukaryota; Metazoa; Chordata; Aves; Passeriformes; Viduidae. The transcript is spliced from 3 exons.
GUUCCCUGCCCAGGUGAGGGUUCCCUGCCCAGGUGAGGAUUCCCUGCCCAGGUGAACGUUCCCUGUGCCCAGGUGAGGGUUCCCUGCCCAGGUGAGGGUUCCCUGCCCAGGUGAGGAUUCCCUGCCCAGGUGAGGGUUCCCUGCCCAGGUGAGGGUUCCCUGCCCAGGUGAGGGUUCCCUGCUCAGGUGAGGGUGCUCAGGGUCUC